Molecule: small RNA, 5046 nt
Filed under: Pyricularia oryzae
Lineage: Eukaryota; Fungi; Ascomycota; Sordariomycetes; Magnaporthales; Pyriculariaceae
Description: Magnaporthe oryzae sRNA M_BR32_EuGene_00146351
Source: RNAcentral
AAUUAAAUCCGUGCCCGUAGGGAAGGGGUUGUGUUAACUAAAUGCCGGUAUAAAACCGAAUGUUGGCACAAUUUUGGGCACAAUUUUGGGUAAAUUUAAAUUAUAUUAACAAAUUGUAAAGUUUGGAAGUUAAAAAAGAUUUUAUUUAAAGAAGUUUACCUAAAUAGAAUUUUGGAUUGUUUUACAAAGUUUACCAUGGCGAUCCGACGGGAAAAGGAAAUAUAAUAUAUGGUAAUAUAUUUCCAGCAAAAGGGCCGCGAAAAGGGCCUUGGGAGGUAUAUUUUCCCAAUAAUAUAUAUAAUCGCAGUUGGGGGUAUUGCGUCCCUGGGAUCGGUGCUGCUAAUAUUAUUAAUACUAUUAAUACCGUUAAUGUUUUUUGGAAAGGAUACGGCCCCAUCCAGUGGAUUUUUCAUUUCCAGGCGGUGCUCCCCUGGGUCCGUUUUAAUUGCGAAAAUUAGAAUCGGUUAAAGGGAUAGGGGAUCCAGUUAUAUAAUAUAAAAGCGGGGUAAAUAACAUAAACCGGGGCAGGAUGCAAAAUAAUAAUUAGGGGGAGAAAAGGAGGGGAAGUGAGGAACAGUUCGACAGGAAUUGGUCGAUGUUGGUUUAUAUAACGAUUUGCAAUCCAAAAAUGGGUUUGCCGACCCAUUUUAAACCGAUGACGAAAAUAACCAACAAAAAUAAUAUUGUAUAACACGUUUGGAACUUUUAAACCUUUUUACAAACCGUUGGUUAUUUGCACCCGUUAUUUCGGUGAAUUAACCAGGGGAUACUUUGGUCGGGCGAGCAAUAUAAUUUUUAAACCUUUACAAAUAACCAGGGCUGCAUUAUAAAUUAUAUUACGCACCGUUUCCCGUAAUUUCCCCAUAACAAAAUACCAUAUUAUAAACACAGGUAUUUCGGCGCUCCGUAUUAAAGCGGAGUUAAUAAAUAUAAAAAUAAGAAAAGCUUACAGACAACCAGGCCGCAAAUGCGUCCCGUAGGGCAAAUUCCAGGAUUUGACAAUUUAAUUUAAACCUUUAAUAUAAUGCAUUAAAUAUAUCCACGUCCAAUGCUACAGGAUAAUGUUUCCAGAAUUUCACCGUUAAUAGCCUGCUGGGACGUUACAUUGCAACCUUUUCAACCGAUACGCCAGGCGUGUGGACGAUAUAAUGCCAAAUUUAAUAUAUAUGUGCGACCGAAAUAGGGAAAGGGAAAUGCUGGUAAUAUAAUUUAAACGAAACUGUAACCGCAAGCAAUAUUAGGCAGGAGGGUCUCGCAAAUGCUGGAACCGCAACCUUGGACUUUUUUUAUCGUUGUAAUAAGGUUAAAUUGUCGCAAUAUUAAUAACGAUAAUUUUUGGUAUUUUGAACCAGAGCCUCGGGAUUAUAAUGAAAUUGGUAAUAUAUAACAGCCAAAAAUCGAACGGUAAUACCGCGAAAAUUACCGCAAUUGGCAGGAAAAAAAAACGUUAGCAACACGAUUCGAAAAAAUGGGAUUUUAAUACCAUUAAUAUCCGUCGAAAUGCUAUUCCGUCGCAAAAAAAACAAGGAUGGAGUUUUGCCAAAAUGGUAAUAAAAACCAAAACCCCGGGUCCAACAAAAGGACGUUGCGAUCCUCGAAUUUACCAUUUUUCAAAUGCGCAAUUGGUGUUUGUACGUUUAAAAUAUAGGGCCGAAAAGCCAAAUUGAGAUUAUUAACCGAAGAAUAAUGGGGCCCGUACAUUUGCCAGGUUUUAUAAAAGGGCUCCCUGCAAAAAUGCCGAAUUAGGAACCGGAGGUGCAACCCAAAGCAGUAUUAUUACGUUAUUAUUUUUGCACAGUACUAAUAUCGACCAAAGGAAGGAAAAAAGCGGUUAUUACAAAAAAAAAUCGCCAAAGAUUAAAUUUGGACCGUUUGUGCGGAAUUUAAUUGCGUGGACAAAUAGGCGCAGGCGAUGGAGCCCCCGUUUUAAUUGGCAAUUUUUAGGAUGUGGAUGUAAAUAUAGGGAAUAAAAAAUAUUUAUUAUGAAAAUCGAGUCCGACGCCGCUAUUAUCGCCAAUUCCUAGGUUAAAACAGUGGCUAAUUUAUUUUAUUAAUAUUAUUAGUUAUAUAAUAUUACAGGAUUUUAAAAUUAUAAUAACCGCGCCUCAAAACCACGUAUUAAACGGCGCAAUUGUUUCGAAUAAAAACGAUAUAAUAACUGCCACCCCACCAUUUCCCAAACGUCCCCAGACCAAUUUGUUCAGGGGUUGGGAAAGCGUAAAAUUAAUAUAUUAUUAGGUAUCUAAUUAUAAUUAUUUUAACCAUUAUCUUUAUCGCGUAUUGCAAUUAAUUAAAUCCGCCCGUCAAAUAAAUAUAAAAAAAGAGCGGAUUUACUAACAGGAGCGUGUGGAAAUUUAGGUAUUGUUUUACAAAAUGCACGAUUUGCAGGAAAAAUAAAAGGAAUUUAUAUCGGACCAUACUAGGGCCAUUAAAAACCAGGAGGAAAUAAUAAAAAUUAAUUAAAGUUUGGAAUUUUAAUUCGAAAAAGCCGAAAUAAACCAAAUUGCGUGGGAGCAGCAAUAUUACCAAUUUGUUAAAAAUGCGGACCUAAACAAAACUUAAAUCGAAAAAUUGGAAUAUAUGGUCGAAUAACAGGCGCGAAAUUUGUUGGUCGUAAAAAAGGAUAACGAAAAAAUUAUAUCGAUGUUUUUAAAACAUUACCCUAGUUUUUUGGAGGACGGCAGCAAUUUUUUUUCAAUUUUGGAAAACGAAAGCGAAAACGGCAAAAAGAAGAGAAGGCGGCCAUCCAGUUAGACAAAAAUAGGCGAAGGUUUUACCAUUCGGGUAAGGAUAAAAAUUAUAAUUUCGAAUUUAGUUUGCAUAAUAAAUGCGUAAAUAUACCAAAGUUUUAAUACACUAAUAAAAACAGGAUAUAACCGAUUAUUACCUGAAACCCCGCCGUGUCCGGCUUUUAUUAACAGGAGAUUAUAAAUACGAAAAUGCUAGUUUUUAAUAAGGAAGAUAUAAUAUAACCGGGGACGGGGUAUUUGACUAACAAUUAAAAUAAAUUAAUGUGGGAGUUUGAGUUUUGGAAUUAUUACCGGCCUGUACACGGUUUUUCGUUUUAUUUCGACUUGAACCCAAUUAAAAAGAUUAUAUUACCCGUCUUUAUUUUUAAUUAGGCCCGGGCCAUUAACUGUCCUAUUUAAUUCAGCCACGUGGACGAUAUACGUUAUACGAAAGAGUCGGAAAUGCGUUUUGUCAAAGCGUUUCCGUUAACCGUUUCGCUUUUUGCUUCCUAUAUAAUGGCAGAAAUGCGAUUAAACGUAACGGCGAUCGGUGCACAAAAUGGCGCCUCCACGAUUAAAUAUUAGGAAAUGGAUAUACCCAUCGACGCUAGGGGCAAUUUAAAUUUGGGGAACGUACAAAAUAUUACCUGGAACGUUUUUCCGCCAGGAAAGUCCGAGGGGCCGUAUAAUAUAUUAUAUAAUUUGUAAAAUCGGGUAAAAAAUAAAAGACCGUAUUUUAAUUUUAUUAAUUAUUUAACAGGUGGUUAUUCCUGCGAAAAGAAAUAUUUUGUUUUACGUUUCCCGGUAACGAUUCGACAGACGCCUACCUAACGGCUGGGGAAUUCGGUUUUUUAUUCGCGGUAAAUACGGUAGAUGUAAAUUUUACCGGCUAUAUUAGCGCGUUAUUGGGUAAUACCGAGAUUGUUUUUGCGCAAAUGGCGACGGAGGGCGGGGUUUUUCCCAAUUAUAGGAGAAUGUAUAUGGGCGCAUGCGAUGCAAUUAAAAUGGCAGGUUGGAGGAAGUUGGGCUGGAAUAAGAACAAGACCUGGAAAUUGGUAGGUCAAAAGUAAUUUGGAUGUUUACAAAUUCGUAUCUUUAACCAAAUAAUCCCGCUGGGGUUCGGAAGGCCAAACAACAAAAGUUUAUAAUAAUAUAUAUUUAAAAAUAAUAUAAUACGUAUUAUACCAAAUCAAAUAUAUUAAUAUUGUGGAAAUUGGUGGAUUUAAUACCGCCAGGCGUUCGUGUUAAAUUUAUCAGUUUCUAUGGUCCCAGAAUUUGGCCAGGCCAAGAAUUUAAUUAUAUCGCAAAGUUUGGUCGCAAUUUUACCCUGCGUAUUUGCUAUAAAACGGAAUUUUCGCGCCCAAAAUAAAAAAUUGGUCCGUUAAUAAAACCUGGCUUUUUAAUCGUGCUCCGUAAUUUUUAUUCUAUUAUUCGUUUUGUUCCCUUUUUUUUGCAAAAAAUAUCGUUUAUUUUUAAAACGAACACAUUUUACGUCUUUGUUUUGUACAUUUUUUUUGUCGACUAUUGGCAGUUGUUAAAUUAGCGUAUGGAUACCAGCGUUAGCCACCUAAUUAUAUCGAUUAAUUAUUGCAAAAGCUCAGAGUUUUCAAAUCCGAGUAAUAAUAUUUUAAAGGCCACAACCCUGCGGGCUUUCGUAAACAGCCCUAUUAUAUGGGAAACGAUCAAAUAUUUCGCUGUAAGGACAAACGAGGUAAUCGUUUGUAAAAAUAACAAAAAAACAAAUAUGUUUGUUAAAUCCAGGAUAUCGGACUUCGAAAGGUUUAUUACCAACCUGGUUUGGUAUUCCAAAAUCCGAAUUGCAAUAUUAAUAUCUUUUUUGGUUUAUUUAAAUCGGUUAAAAACUCGCCUUCAAAACUGCAUUGGUUAUCCAAAUACGCCGUAUAGAUUUUUUUUGGCAAAUUUAAUAUUAACAGCCAAAUAUUUAAACGAUAAAUCGCCCUGGAAUAAGAAAUGGGCCAAAUACGUAUUCCUACGUGCAAUGGACGCAAACGGUAAUAACCUAAGUUAUAGCUUCCAUUUUAAUAUUGCAGGAGUAAAUAAAAUGGAAAGACAGCUUUUUAAUCUGCUAUUUUGGGAUUUGAAAAUUGAAAACAGUAAUUUGUAUUACGAGCUGGAAACGUUUCUAAAAUUAAUACGUUUUGGAAUUUCCGAAAAAGUUAUUAUAAAGGGGAGGUUAGUAAAGAACGACCAUAUUUAAAAAAAAUGCUAAACAGGUGGUGGAUUUAUAGGCGAAGCAAUAUUAUAAUGCUUUUAAAUUGCCGGGUUACCUUUGGAAAACUUUUUAUUAUAUAAAUUA